GAUGAACGCUGGCGGCGUGCCUAAUACAUGCAAGUCGAGCGAACAGACGAGGAGCUUGCUCCUCUGACGUUAGCGGCGGACGGGUGAGUAACACGUGGAUAACCUACCUAUAAGACUGGGAUAACUUCGGGAAACCGGAGCUAAUACCGGAUAAUAUAUUGAACCGCAUGGUUCAAUAGUGAAAGACGGUUUUGCUGUCACUUAUAGAUGGAUCCGCGCCGCAUUAGCUAGUUGGUAAGGUAACAGCUUACCAAGGCAACGAUGCGUAGCCGACCUGAGAGGGUGAUCGGCCACACUGGAACUGAGACACGGUCCAGACUCCUACGGGAGGCAGCAGUAGGGAAUCUUCCGCAAUGGGCGAAAGCCUGACGGAGCAACGCCGCGUGAGUGAUGAAGGUCUUCGGAUCGUAAAACUCUGUUAUUAGGGAAGAACAAACGUGUAAGUAACUAUGCACGUCUUGACGGUACCUAAUCAGAAAGCCACGGCUAACUACGUG
This 497-nucleotide ribosomal RNA is filed under the name uncultured bacterium. RNAcentral describes it as "partial 16S ribosomal RNA". It matches the Rfam family "Bacterial small subunit ribosomal RNA", at positions 28 to 507 of the family's 1533-position model. The record is from RNAcentral.